This 1012-nucleotide long non-coding RNA is filed under the name Podarcis lilfordi (Lilford's wall lizard). The record is from RNAcentral. Lineage: Eukaryota; Metazoa; Chordata; Lepidosauria; Squamata; Lacertidae.
UCUGACACUACACUGUACAGGAGUGUGCUAGGCAAGCUAAACUUCAUUGCCAGGUGUUCAAGACCAGACAUUGCUGUUAGCUGUAAUUUGCUAAGCAGACAAGUCAACAAUCCUAGUGUCAAGGAUUGGUAUGCUCUGAAACGCAUAGCGCGGUAUUUGAAAGGCACUAUGCAUUACAGACUGAGAUUUAACAAUCAGAAGUCUGGUGGUCUUGAGAUAUUUGCAGAUGCAAGUUUUGGAAGUGACGCUACAGACAGGAAAAGUACGUCUGGAGUUUGCUACAUGUACAAUCAGAGUCUGUUUGAUUGGUCAUGCAAGAAGCAAACAACAGUUAGCUUAAGUACUUGUGAAGCCGAACUGAAUGCACUGUCUUAUUCACUUAAGGAUUGUGAAUGGUUAGUACAAUUGUGCAAAGAUAUGAAAAUUCCUGUCAAAUGUCCAAUCCAGGUUUACCAGGACAACAAAGCAUGUUUGGCUUUGCUAAAGUCUGAAGGUUGUAAGCAAAGCACAAAGCACUUGCAAUUAAAGUUGCAGCAUGCUAGGGAAUGUAUUCAGAAGGGACUCGUAACGGUGUCCUAUAUGCCAGGUAAUGAAAUUCCUGCUGAUGUAUUGUCCAAGAUUGUAUCAAGGGAUCAACACUGUACCUAUGUGCAGAAGUUGGGUUUGUACUGAUACUGUACGAACACGCUGCCCAGUGAUGUUCACAGAAAGGGGGAGGAUGUUGGUUUCUAUUUCCCUCACUGAGCAGCAACUGCAGUCACAAGACAUUGUUUUGCAUUCCACAGUCUGUACUGUUGGAGUUUCUCACGGGAAAGGGAGACUGGAUGUGACGUACACUGGUUUCCUGUUUUUUCACUGUGAUUCUCUCCAAGCUGUUGAGGAGAGAGGAUGCAUUUUUCUGCUCCUGAAGAGGCAAGAUGUCUUUCUGUAAUAUACCAGCUUUGAACUGUAAAUAAAAGCAAUAUAUGGAGUAUGCAACACAUUUUCCUCAUCCUUCCGCUGGGCACGACAG